RNAcentral lists this ribosomal RNA (484 nucleotides) under uncultured bacterium. RNAcentral describes it as "partial 16S ribosomal RNA". It matches the Rfam family "Bacterial small subunit ribosomal RNA", at positions 28 to 523 of the family's 1533-position model. The record is from RNAcentral.
GACGAACGCUGGCGGCGUGCUUAACACAUGCAAGUCGAACGAUGAAGCCGGAGCUUGCUCUGGUGAAUUAGUGGCGAACGGGUGAGUAACACGUGAGUAACCUGCCCUUGACUCUGGGAUAACUGCGGGAAACUGUAGCUAAUACCGGAUACGACCCUCGGAGGCAUCUCCUGGGGGUGGAAAGAAUUUCGGUCAAGGAUGGACUCGCGGCCGAUCAGCUAGUUGGUGAGGUAAAGGCUCACCAAGGCGACCACGGGUAGCCGGCCUGAGAGGGUGGCCGGCCAACAUGGGGCUGGGACGCGGCCCAGACUCCUACGGGAGGCAGCAGUGGGGAAUAUUGCACAAUGGGCGCAAGCCUGAUGCAGCAACGCCGCGUGAGGGAUGACGGCCUUCGGGUUGUAAACCUCUUUUAGCAGGGAAGAAGCGAAAGUGACGGUACCUGCAGAAAAAGCACCGGCUAACUACGUGCCAGCCGCCGCGGUAA